AUUGAACGCUGGCGGCAGGCCUAACACAUGCAAGUCGAGCGGGGACUUCGGUCCUAGCGGCGAACGGGUGAGUAAUGCUUGGGAAUCUGCCCAGUAGUGGGGGAUAACGUCCCGAAAGGGACGCUAAUACCGCAUACGUCCUACGGGAGAAAGAGGGGGAUCUUCGGACCUCUCGCUAUUGGAUGAGCCCAGGUCGGAUUAGCUAGUUGGUAGGGUAAUGGCCUACCAAGGCGACGACCCGUAGCUGGUCUGAGAGGAUGAUCAGCCACACUGGAACUGAGACACGGUCCAGACUCCUACGGGAGGCAGCAGUGGGGAAUAUUGGACAAUGGGCGAAAGCCUGAUCCAGCCAUGCCGCGUGUGUGAAGAAGGCCUUCGGGUUGUAAAGCACUUUAAGCGGGGAGGAAGGUUCGCGGCCUAAUACGUCGCGGAAUUGACGUUACCCGCAGAAUAAGCACCGGCUAACUCUGUG
This 472-nucleotide ribosomal RNA is filed under the name uncultured bacterium. RNAcentral describes it as "partial 16S ribosomal RNA". It matches the Rfam family "Bacterial small subunit ribosomal RNA", at positions 30 to 507 of the family's 1533-position model. The record is from RNAcentral.